GACGAACGCUGGCGGCGUGCUUAACACAUGCAAGUCGAACGGAAAGGCCCUGCUUUUGUGGUGUGCUCGAGUGGCGAACGGGUGAGUAACACGUGAGUAACCUGCCCUUGACUUUGGGAUAACUUCAGGAAACUGGGGCUAAUACCGGAUAGGAGCUCCUGCUGCAUGGUGGGGGUUGGAACGUUUCGGCGGUUGGGGAUGGACUCGCGGCUUAUCAGCUUGUUGGUUGGGUAGUGGCUUACCCAGGCUUUGACGGGUAGCCGGCCUGAGAGGGUGACCGGCCACAUUGGGACUGAGAUACGGCCCAGACUCCUACGGGAGGCAGCAGGGGGAAAUAUUACACAAUGAGCGGAAGCCUGAUGCAGCAACGCCGCGUGCGGGAUGACGGCCUUCGGGUUGUAAACCGCUUUCGCCUGUGACGAAGCGGGAGUGACGGUAAUGGGUAAAGAAGCACCGGCUAACUACGUG
RNAcentral lists this ribosomal RNA (468 nucleotides) under uncultured bacterium. RNAcentral describes it as "partial 16S ribosomal RNA". It matches the Rfam family "Bacterial small subunit ribosomal RNA", at positions 28 to 507 of the family's 1533-position model. The record is from RNAcentral.